Molecule: long non-coding RNA, 4541 nt
Filed under: Sus scrofa (pig)
Lineage: Eukaryota; Metazoa; Chordata; Mammalia; Artiodactyla; Suidae
Description: lncRNA (ENSSSCG00035028665.1)
Source: RNAcentral
AGGAAUAACCAUCAUCUAUUAUCCAUCCUCAGAAUAUGCUCCCACUCCUGGUUUUAAUGCACAAAGUACUCCGAGAUGCGUGUGCUGUUAUCACAGAGCAGGGUAAGAGAUACGCUACAAGUCUCUCAAUUCCAUGCUAGGACUCAAGAUGGGAGUGUUAAAACUACAGAAGACAAACCAUCAAAGAAAAACAACAACAACAAUAACAACAAAAAAAGCAAAGCCAAGAACUUAAAUAAAUUAAAAAAAACACAUUAUAACUUUGCCCUUCAGGGAUCAUCUCCUGAAACGAUUUUAUAAAAUCUCUCAACUCUAUCUCAGAUAUAGAAGACAGCUAGUCACUGCAUAAAUGGUUUCCUGCCUUUCUUUGAAGGAUUUCUUUCUCCUGUAUUUCAUCUUUUCCCUUAUCAGAGUAUUAACCCCGUAUGAAGCUCCCCAAAUUUUCUAAGUUCUGGAGAGGGAGCAAAACAUUGCAAAGCUUGAUGCGUUUGUUUUGUUAGAUGUGUUUUAGGAACGAUUUCAUCAUAUUUUUCUGAGAUUUUGUGUGAGCCCUGUAUGACUGAAACUUUUAGCAUCCCCUGGAACAUUACAAAAACUACAGAAUUGCCUUUUAUUCUGGGCCUAUUUUAUUACUGUCUUUUACAUCUCUUAACUACUUCAGAUGUCUUUGUUCUAACACUUUGUUGAUCUGGAGCUUUUUGACUGUGUUUCGGUGGGUUACAAGGACACAUGUGACUAGCUUAUUUUUCCCAUUUGGACGGUUUCGAACAUAAGGUGAUUGUGUAUACCAGAGAUAAGUGCCUCAGUCUUUUCUCCUACCAGCAAAGAAUUCUGUGUUAAUCGUCUAUAAAGUAGACAAUAGGUGCUGAGUUAUGAGUUGUUCAGUAGACCUGCUUACAACUAAAAUUAUCCGUGGAAACCACAGUUUAUGGUUUUUUUUACUGCUCCUUUUCAGUUAUUGUUAUUGCUUGGCUUUUGGCUGAAACUUGGACUUUUUAACAGGGUCUGUUAACUUUUCAGAAUGACUAACUUUGGUAGUUAAUUAUAUGAGUUCUUCUCUCUGUGCUCAUUUUUAUUCAAACGGUUCAUUAACUAAGAACAUCUUUGGAAACCUAAGACAUCCUUCUAGGUAAAUAUCUGUAGAAGAGAUAAAUACUGUGCAGAUCUGCACAUAAAUACAGCAGUUGCCAGUGCUGUUAUCUUUUACAGUCAGCACUGUGGUUUUAAUGUGAAAAAAUAACAUAAAAGCUUCCUGUCAGUUUGGCUUAAAGGGGCUAUCUGAGUCAAUGGGUAGUAAGUGAGGGAACAAUAGAUAUAAUAAUCUGUGCUUACACACAAAUUUUAAGAAAACUCUUUAGAGGGAAAACCAUUUCCUCUAUCUUCACAGCGUCAGCUUAUUGGAGAAAUUCAAGGUCAAGUUCUAGGACUAGUGAAGCUCAAAUGUCCUUGACUUUAGGCAAUGAAAUGAUACUGUCCUUGAACAGGCAGAGGGGCACCAGCCAUCAGCAAUAAAUCGGUGAGUUGCUUCUGAGUCGACACGUCUGUACUGAUAGUAAUCAUUGCUUGUGGAGUUGAUAAAGUUGUCAGUUGUGCUUAUGUCCACUUUUUGUUUCAGAAACUUAGCCCACGUCUCUCCAUUUUCUUUUUCAUUAAUUUGUGUUUUAAACCAUUAGAUUAAGACAGGAGGUUUUAAAGAUGUUCUCCAGUUCCCGUGAGGUUCUGUUCACAGCUCACGGGAAACACACGUCCCACCCGGCAACGUGGCAGCUGGAGGAGAAAGAUACUGAGAUGCAGGGAGAAGAGGACUACUUUUGGAUGUUAACAGAUCUCCAUUCCAGUUGGAUUGUUCUCUGACUUCUUAGCUAUGUGACCAGAAAUCAAUCUUUUAGCUUCUCUGCUCCUUGACUUCUUCCCCACCCUAACUCUGAUUAAAUAUAUCAGCACAUAUUUUUUUUUACUUUAAAAUUUAUAAUGGAAAUGCAAAAUACGUAGAAAUGCUAAAACAAUCUCAAAAAAGAUGAAUAAAUUUAAAGGCAAAGGUCAAUCAGCUGUUAUGUCUUUUUAGAGAGCUGCAGUUACUGACACAGAAGAGAGGACUCAGAAAGCCAAGCAAACAUGCAAAAAUAAAUUUUGACAAAAAUGCAAAAGUGAUUCUGUGAAGGAAGGUAGCUGUUUAAUUUUUAAUUUUUUUUUUUAAUUUUUAGGGCUACACCAGGUACAUGUGGAAGUUUCCAGGCUAGGGGUCAGAUUGGAGCUGCAGCUGCCUGCCUAUGCCACAGCCACAGAAACUCGGGAUCUGAGUUGUGUCUGUGACCUUUACCACAGCUCACAGAAAUGCCAGAUAAUUAACCCACUGAGCGAGGCCAGGUACUGAACCCACGUCCUCAUGGAUCCUAGCAGGGUUUGUUAUCGCUGAGCCACAAGAGGAACUCCAAGAUAAACUUUUUAAAAAAUGCUCAGCAGCUAACAAACCCGACUAGGAUCCAUGAGGAUGAGUGUUCUGUCGCUGGCCUCACUCAGUGAGUUGGGGAUCCAGCAUUUCUGUGAGCUGUGGUUUAGGGAACUCCUCAAGAUACUUUUAAAUUAAGGUAUAUACAUUGUUUUUUAGACCUAAUUCUAGUGUACAUUUAAUAGAAUACCAUGUAGUGUAAACAUCACUUUUACAUGCACUGGGAAACCAAAAAAAAAAUCACAUGGCCCACUUCAUUUUGAUAUUCCUUCAUUGCAGUUAUCUGAAAGAGAACCCGCAGUAUCUCUGAGGUAUUUCGUAUUUGCCAAGUGUUAGAAAGUAUAACGGAGGGAGGUGCCUGUGUCUAUUAAAAGGUAGCAUGAGGAGCCUUGUGAUGGAAUUAUUUUGUGUCUUGACUGGUGGUGGUCACAAUAACCUUUUAUCACAUUAAUUUUAUCGCACAUGUUAAAAUCAAGUAGAACUAUGUAUACACAUACAAAUGGGUGCAUAUAAAAUUGGUGAAAUUGAAAUGCUAUGGGCGGAAUGUAUAAAUAUCAAUUUUUUGGCUGUGACAGUGAGUGCAGCUUUUGUCACAGUGUUACGAUGUAGAGAAACUAAGUGAAAGAUCCUGGGACCUCCCUCCACAUUUUUUUUUUUUUUUUUGCAACUUCUGAAAAUCUAUAGUCAUUUCAAGAUAAAUAUAUUUUUAAAGAAAAGAAUUAUGAAGACCCUUUCAGGUCUUCUAUUUUCUGAUGUAACCUUUGUUUGAGAAAACUAAGCUUUGGUUGAUCACUCUUCCCUUCCCAUUCAAGGUCCACUCAUUAAAACGAUGUUAGAUAUGAGAAGGGUAACUCAGGGCAUCUGGGUCUUUAAAAGAGCCCGUAGAUGUUCUUUACAGAAGUACUGGUGAGAAGAAUAGAAGAUGGAACCCUGGGGUGAUUCUGUCAACAGUAGUUCUCAAGCUUUAGCAUACAUCAGAUUCAUGUGAAGGCUUACAAAAACACAGCCCCAGAGUCGAUGAUCAGCAGAUCUGGGGUGAAGCUCCAGAAUGGGCAUUUCUCACAAGUUCCCAUGUGACACUGGUACUCAGGCUGAUGCUGCUGCCCAGAGACCACACUGUAAGAACCAUCACCCUAGAACAUUGGAGUGGCAAUUUUAAACUGUCCCAAGAAACUUCCAAGUAGAAUGAAAUGGAAUGAACUAUUUAAGAAUUUUCUGUGUUUACAUCCUUUUUUGUUUGUAUAGGUCCCCCCCCCAUACAUUGGCUGAUAAAAAUGUUUUUGGUUCCUUGUCUGUGUGGGCUCAAGAAGUAUGUCAUUGAGUUAAUUUACAAAGCCUCUUGUUGCACAUCUGUCACAUUCUCAGAAAAUAUUAUCCCAGAAAAAUCCAUCAACACAACCCAUAAGCCCCUAAAUGGACUGCACACUUGGCAUGCAAGAGAGAAAAAGAAACCAAUGAAAUGCAAAAAGUGAUCUGUAUAGAGGCCUCAAAGUGAAUUCAAAAGUUAAAUCCUAUAACACAAUAUGGGAUUCCAUUAGGGGUUCGUUUUUACAGGGUUUCUUUAAUGGGUUUUAAAAUAGAAAUGCUGUCCUAGGCAGAGCAUUGUAAUGAUAAAUUGAACAUACUUUGGAGUCACAUGUCUCCUUUUUUUAUUUUUUUUUUUUCAUUUUAGUUUUGCUACUUACUAGCAGUCUUAAUAUGGUCAAGAUAAUUAAUAUAAGUUCUAGCUUCCUUCUAUAGAAAAAUAUAUAAUAAUGCUUAAGUUACAGGAAUCAUUAGAAUUAUUAAGAAUACGUCUAAAACAACUAGCACAUUGUCUGACAAUUUCUCAAUAAAUAGUUGCAGUGAUGAUAUUGAGAAGGAUGGAGCUGAUGAUUUCAACUGACAGAAAUGAAAUAGCAAUUAUAACCAUUACCACUGGUCACUAUUUUACUGAGCAACUACAAAAUCUCAGGUUCUGUGAAAAGAACUUUCCUUUUUUUUUUUCCGCAUUACAUCUUCAGGGAGUUCCUGUUGUGGCUCAGUGGGUUACACACCCAACUAGUAUCCAUGAGGAGGCAGGUUCGAUCCCUGGCCUCACUCGGUGGGUUAA